This 634-nucleotide ribosomal RNA is filed under the name uncultured bacterium. RNAcentral's name for it is "bacterial SSU rRNA". It matches the Rfam family "Bacterial small subunit ribosomal RNA", at positions 145 to 765 of the family's 1533-position model. The record is from RNAcentral.
AACACUUGGAAACAGGUGCUAAUACCGUAUAACAACUGAAACCGCAUGGUUUCAGUUUGAAAGAUGGUUUCGGCUAUCACUUCUGGAUGGACCCGCGGCGUAUUAGCUAGUUGGUGGAGUAAUGGUUCACCAAGGCAAUGAUACGUAGCCGACCUGAGAGGGUAAUCGGCCACAUUGGGACUGAGACACGGCCCAAACUCCUACGGGAGGCAGCAGUAGGGAAUCUUCCACAAUGGACGAAAGUCUGAUGGAGCAACGCCGCGUGAGUGAAGAAGGGUUUCGGCUCGUAAAACUCUGUUGUUGAAGAAGAACACAUCUGAGAGUAACUGUUCAGGUGUUGACGGUAUUUAACCAGAAAGCCACGGCUAACUACGUGCCAGCAGCCGCGGUAAUACGUAGGUGGCAAGCGUUGUCCGGAUUUAUUGGGCGUAAAGCGAGCGCAGGCGGUUUCUUAAGUCUGAUGUGAAAGCCUUCGGCUUAACCGGAGAAGUGCAUCGGAAACUGGGAGACUUGAGUGCAGAAGAGGACAGUGGAACUCCAUGUGUAGCGGUGAAAUGCGUAGAUAUAUGGAAGAACACCAGUGGCGAAGGCGGCUGUCUGGUCUGUAACUGACGCUGACGCUCGAAAGCAUGGG